RNA transcript from Musa acuminata AAA Group (dessert banana), 2723 nucleotides. It is a transcript of the gene named protein NRT1/ PTR FAMILY 5.2-like, with no coding region annotated. The transcript is spliced from 5 exons. The record is from RefSeq and is a predicted model, not a curated record. Lineage: Eukaryota; Viridiplantae; Streptophyta; Magnoliopsida; Zingiberales; Musaceae.
UGAUGAUCCCUCUUCGUCUUCGUCAAUCCUUUGGUUUAUCUCACGUUCACUGGUCCAUUUUUCAUUCGGGUGAAUCUCACUGCUUCCUUCUGCUGGUUUCAAAGAGAAAUUCUGCAAUGAACUCUAUUACCCCAAGAACAUCUUCUCUCCCAGGUUGCAGAAGAUUUAUCUCUUGAAUCUGAGAAGGCGAAGGAGUUCUCACAGGUAAAGACUGCUUUUUUACAUCUCUUCAUUUCCUCUUAUUGAAAUCUCAAAGUGGCUCUAAUAUCUUCUGUAUCUAAUUUAAUUAGCCUAAUUAAUCAACCGUAUGGUAUCAAAUAUAUGAGAUGGACAGCGGGUGUCUGGUGGAGCCAUGCUCAUGCAGCUGCUUUUCCGUAUGGUAUCACUGCUUGUCACUGAUGCUAGCAGUGGAGGCAGCAUCUCCUCCUCGGUUGAAGAAUGUAUGUUUGGCCAGUGGUUGAACGCCUGUCAUCGUAAGAUAGCACCGUCCAACGAUGAAGGGACAGAGAGCGCACUCCUCCACUUAGCAGCCGCCCACUGGAGUAGUGGAGGAGGCGUCGUUUGUCUCUCCCAUUUUUUGCAUGGCCGCCCUUUCUCGCAAGGAAUCGAGUAAAGAGCGGUCACGUCAAUCGGUCGCUGCUGGAGAUGCCGAUUGGCUGCUGCAAAAGGUUCACAGACAAUUAUUCUCUUCUAAAAAGUCUCUCCUUUUGCUCCCACUACGCGCGCGACCCCAACAGCACAUCUCAAAUUAUUUACGAUGAAUUCUUAAAGAAAAUCUUUAUUUUUAGAUUUUUUUGAUGAGAAAUACUCGACGCCCAAUACAUGAUGUGACUGCUAAAAGAUGAGGUCUAUCUAUCUAUCUAUCCAUCUCUGUAUGCGGUCGGCGACUCUUAACCUUCGGGCACACAGAAAUGGAGAGCUCAUCGAAGCUGGCACAGGACUACGCCCGGGAUGGCUCGGUGGAUCUCAAAGGCAACCCUGUGUCGAGGUCUCAGAGAGGUGGAUGGUUUGCUUGCUACUUCAUCGUCGUGUACGACGCUGUGGAGAGGAUGGCGUACCAGGGGAUAUCAUCCAACCUGGUGCUGUACCUUACCAGGAAUCUGCACCAAGGCACGCUGACCGCCGCCAACAAUGUCACGUACUGGGUGGGAACUGGAUACUUGAUGCCCGUUCUGGGCGCUUAUGUCGCGGACGCACAUCUCGGACGAUACUGGACCUUCGUCCUCUCCUCGGCCAUCUAUUUCCUGGGAAUGUGCCUGCUAACGUUGGCCGUCUCCUUGCCAUCGUUAAGACCGCCUCCUUGCACUCACCAGGGCGACGCUCCCAAGUGUUCGCCGGCCUCGGUGCUGCAGGUGGGUGUCUUCCUCGGUGCACUCUACGUGGUCGCAUUUGGAUCUGGAGGAACCAAGCCCAACAUCUCCACCAUCGGCGCCGACCAGUUCGAUGAAUUCGAUCCCCGGGAGAGGGCUCACAAGAUCUCCUUCUUCAACUGGUGGUUCUUCAGUUCCUUCCUCGGAACCCUCUUCGCAGGCAUCGUCUUGGUGUUCAUCCAGGACAACGUGGGCUGGCCCUUGGGAUAUGGAAUCCCCACCAUCGCCCUCCUCCUCUCCGUCUCCAUCUUCUUGUCCGGCACUCGUUUCUACCGGCAUAAGGUUCCUCAGGGCAGCCCGCUCACCAGGAUGGCAAGAGUCAUCGUGGCCGCCAUCAGAAAAUGGAAUCUCCCCCUCCCCAAGAGUGCAGCAGAGCUCCAUGAACUGGAUCCCGAGGAGUACACGAGGAAGGGACAGUUUAGGAUCCUUCCUUCGGAUUCCUUGAGGCUUCUCAACAAAGCAGCGGUGAGAGUUGGCUCAACGUCGACGCCAUGGAUGCUGACCACUGUCACGGAAGUCGAGGAAACCAAACAGAUGCUGCGGAUGAUCCCGAUUUGGGUCGCGUGCUUCUUUCCAUCCACCGUAGUCGCCCAGGUGAACACUCUGUUCGUGAAGCAGGGCACCACCCUGGACCGCCGAAUCAAUGUAGGUCGUCACCACCUCCAAAUCCCUCCUGCCACCCUCGUGUCGUUCGUUCUCCAUGCUCGUAUCCGUCGUCGUCUACGACCGCUACUUCGUCAAGAUCAUGAGGAGUUGGACCAACAACCCCAGAGGAAUAACUCUGCUUCAGCGAAUCGGAACGGGCUUCCUCCUCCACAUCAUCACCAUGCUGGUCGCGUCUCUCACCGAGAGCAGACGACUACGGGCGGCCAGAGACGACGUUCGGCUCACCAUCUUCGGACUGAUUCCUCAGUUCGUUCUCAUGGGAGUAGCCGAUUGUUUCAUGGUGGUGGGGAUGGUGGAGUUCUUCUACAGCCAAGCGCCUGAGAGCAUGAAGAGUUUGGGGACUUCCUACUCGUUUGCCACCUAUGGCGUCGGCAACAUUCUCAGCAGCCUUCUGCUCAUGGCCGUCUCUGACAUUACCAAGAGGAAUGGCAGGGAGGGAUGGAUCUCGAACAACCUCAAUUCAUCGCAUCUGGAUUUCUACUAUGCAUUGCUGGGAGUCCUCGGUUUCAUCAACUUCGUCUUCUUCGUCUACGUCAGUAGGGUGUACGUGUACAAGGCCGAGGUGUACGAACAACAGGUGGAGGCAUCGACGGAGCAGCAUCGUGCAGCAUGAAGACUCCACCGUGCAUGUCAAGAGUCGGCUACCGUCGUGUACACAAAGCAGGAAUGAAUAGGAAGAUUAAUCAA